RNAcentral lists this long non-coding RNA (201 nucleotides) under Nicotiana benthamiana. RNAcentral's name for it is "long non-coding RNA (NBEN_LNC004804)". The record is from RNAcentral. Lineage: Eukaryota; Viridiplantae; Streptophyta; Magnoliopsida; Solanales; Solanaceae.
CAUCGGUUACUCGACUGGUUUGAAACCCAGGCUGAUCAUUAUGCUACUUUAUUGUUCCAUUGCUCUCUAUAUAUUGCUUCUCACUUCUCUACAUUGCUGCUUGCUCGAGUCUGUUAUUGUUGCUCACUUCUCUUCUACUGAUGCUCUCUCCCUUGCACACUAUUGCUCAUCACUUUGCAUAUUAUAACUCACUACUGCCCU